Molecule: ribosomal RNA, 422 nt
Filed under: uncultured soil bacterium
Lineage: Bacteria
Description: bacterial SSU rRNA
Rfam family: Bacterial small subunit ribosomal RNA
Source: RNAcentral
AGAUUGAACGCUGGCGGCAUGCCUUACACAUGCAAGUCGAACGGCAGCACGGAGCUUGCUCUGGUGGCGAGUGGCGAACGGGUGAGUAAUAUAUCGGAACGUACCCUAGAGUGGGGGGAUAACGUAGCGAAAGUUACGCUAAUACCGCAUACGAUCCAAGGAUGAAAGUGGGGGAUUCGCAAGAACCUCAUGCUCGUGGAGCGGCCGAUAUCUGAUUAGCUAGUUGGUAGGGUAAAAGCCUACCAAGGCAUCGAUCAGUAGCUGGUCUGAGAGGACGACCAGCCACACUGGAACUGAGACACGGUCCAGACUCCUACGGGAGCAGCAGGUGGGGUAAUUUUGGACAAGUGGGCGAAAGCCUGACUCCAGCAAUCGCCGCGUAGGAGUGAAGUAACGGCCGUUUACGGGUUAGUAAAGUCGUU